This 29-nucleotide non-coding RNA is filed under the name Mus musculus (house mouse). Lineage: Eukaryota; Metazoa; Chordata; Mammalia; Rodentia; Muridae. The record is from RNAcentral.
UCCCAGCAGCCAUGAAAAGCAGUAACGCC